RNAcentral lists this ribosomal RNA (433 nucleotides) under uncultured bacterium. Its description in RNAcentral is "bacterial SSU rRNA". It matches the Rfam family "Bacterial small subunit ribosomal RNA", at positions 355 to 786 of the family's 1533-position model. The record is from RNAcentral.
UGAGGAAUAUUGGUCAAUGGGCGAGAGCCUGAACCAGCCAAGUCGCGUGAGGGAUGACGGGUCCAUGGCCUGUAAACCUCUUUUGUGAAGGAAGAACCGCGGGGACGCGUCCCCGCCUGCCAGUACUUCACGAAUAAGCAUCGGCUAACUCCGUGCCAGCAGCCGCGGUAACACGGGGGAUGCGAGCGUUAUCCGGAUUCAUUGGGUUUAAAGGGAGCGUAGGCGGCCCGACAAGUCAGCGGUAAAAGACUGCAGCUAAACUGUAGCACGCCAUUGAAACUGCCGGGCUAGAGUGCAGACGAGGUUGGCGGAACAGGUGAAGUAGCGGUGAAAUGCAUAGAUAUCACCUGGAACCCCGACAGCGAAGGCAGCUGACCAGGCUGUAACUGACGCUGAUGCUCGAGGGCGUGGGUAGCGAACAGGAUUAGAUACC